Molecule: ribosomal RNA, 29 nt
Filed under: uncultured Pezizomycotina
Lineage: Eukaryota; Fungi; Ascomycota
Description: partial 28S ribosomal RNA
Source: RNAcentral
GUGACCUCGGAUCAGAGACACCAGUCGAU